Molecule: long non-coding RNA, 475 nt
Filed under: Salmo salar (Atlantic salmon)
Lineage: Eukaryota; Metazoa; Chordata; Actinopteri; Salmoniformes; Salmonidae
Description: lncRNA (ENSSSAG00000090493.1)
Source: RNAcentral
GCCGAGCCGUAGAACAAGAUGGCGGACUCCUUAGCAACGGCUCAGGGAGAGGAGAUCGAACCGGAGAAAGAAGGCAAGGAGAGACGGAUGGAGGGAGAUAGUGAGAACCGGGGAUCGAAGGAGACCUCCGAGGUGACGGAAACGCUGGGGUUUUACGACAAGAAGAAAGUCCAAAAGGACAAGAAACGGAGUUUGUCUGGUGAGUACUGAACCAGAACCUCAGCUUGAGGAGAGGAGAGCCCAGGUACUGGUCCAGGUGAGUACUGAACCAGAACCUCAGCUUGAGGAGAGGAGAGCCCAGGUACUGGUCCAGGUGAGUACUGAACCAGAACCUCAGCUUGAGGAGAGGUAGUAGUAGUAGCAGCUAGCUAACAGUACUAACAGUAGUAGUAGUAGUAGUAGUAGUAGUAGCAGCUAGCUAACAGUAGUAGUAGUAGUAGUAGUAGUAGUAGCAGCUAGCUAACAGUAGUAGUAG